Molecule: ribosomal RNA, 449 nt
Filed under: uncultured bacterium
Lineage: Bacteria
Description: bacterial SSU rRNA
Rfam family: Bacterial small subunit ribosomal RNA
Source: RNAcentral
GUAGGGAAUUUUCGUCAAUGGGGGGAACCCUGAACGAGCAAUGCCGCGUGAGUGAAGACGGUUUUCGGACUGUAAAGCUCUGUUGUAAGAGAAAAACGGCCGACAUAGGGAAUGAUGUCGGAGUGAUGGUAUCUUACCAGAAAGUCACGGCUAACUACGUGCCAGCAGCCGCGGUAAUACGUAGGUGGCGAGCGUUAUCCGGAAUGAUUGGGCGUAAAGGGUGCGUAGGCGGUACGGUAAGUCUGUAGUAAAAGGCGGCAGCUCAACUGUCGUAGGCUAUGGAAACUGUCGAACUAGAGUGCAGAAGAGGGCGAUGGAACUCCAUGUGUAGCGGUAAAAUGCGUAGAUAUAUGGAAGAACACCAGUGGCGAAGGCGGUCGCCUGGUCUGUAACUGACGCUGAAGCACGAAAGCGUGGGGAGCAAAUAGGAUUAGAAACCCUAGUAGUCC